Molecule: ribosomal RNA, 197 nt
Filed under: uncultured bacterium
Lineage: Bacteria
Description: partial 16S ribosomal RNA
Rfam family: Bacterial small subunit ribosomal RNA
Source: RNAcentral
ACGCUCGACACCUACGGAGGCAGCAGUGGGGAAUAUUGCACAAUGGGGGAAACCCUGAUGCAGCGACGCCGCGUGAAGGAAGAAGUAUCUCGGUACGUAAACUUCUAUCAGCAGGGAAGAAAAUGACGGUACCUGACUAAGAAGCCCCGGCUAACUACGUGUCAGCAGCCGCGGUAAUCUGAGCGGGCUGGCAAGGC